GCCCUGCUAGCUCAGUGGUAGAGCGCGGCACUUGUAAUGCUGAGGUCAGUCGUUCAAACCGGCUGUGGGGCA
Fistulina hepatica ATCC 64428 is the source of this 72-nucleotide transfer RNA. It matches the Rfam family "tRNA". Rfam says of the family: Transfer RNA (tRNA) molecules are approximately 80 nucleotides in length. Their secondary structure includes four short double-helical elements and three loops (D, anti-codon, and T loops). The record is from Rfam. NCBI's taxonomy places the organism in Eukaryota, Fungi, Basidiomycota, Agaricomycetes, Agaricales, Fistulinaceae.